ACGGAGGUAGAGCACUGUAUAGGCUAGGGGUCCCACCGGAUUACCAAACCUUAACAAACUCCGAAUGCCGUCAAGUUCUAUCGCGGGAGUCAGACUGUGGGAGAUAAGUUCCAUGGUCGAGAGGGUAAGAGCCCAGACCGUCAGCUAAGGUCCCUAAACUGCACUAAGUGGAAAAGGAGGUGAAAUUGCUUAGACAACCAGGAGGUUGGCUUAGAAGCAGCAAUCCUUUAAAGAUAGCGUAAUAGCUCACUGGUCUAGUGAAUUUGCGCCGAAAAUGUAACGGGGCUUAAGUGCAGUACCGAAGCUACGGAUCGAGUAAUCGAUGGUAGGAGAACAUUGUGUAGGCCUGAGAAGGUGCAUCGUGAGGUGUGCUGGAGGUAUCACAAGAGCUUAUGUUGACACGAGUAGCGAUAAUGAAGGUGAAAAACCUUCACGCCGAAAGUCUAAGGUUUCCUGAAGUCAAGUUAAUCUGCUCAGGGUUAGUCGGCCCCUAAGGCGAGGCUGAAAAGCG
RNAcentral lists this ribosomal RNA (511 nucleotides) under uncultured bacterium. RNAcentral describes it as "bacterial LSU rRNA". It matches the Rfam family "Bacterial large subunit ribosomal RNA", at positions 896 to 1411 of the family's 2925-position model. The record is from RNAcentral.